This is a long non-coding RNA of Equus caballus (horse), 2138 nucleotides long. NCBI's taxonomy places the organism in Eukaryota, Metazoa, Chordata, Mammalia, Perissodactyla, Equidae. The record is from Ensembl.
GAUAAAGAGGUUAUAAAAGGCUUUUCUUUAAUAAGUCUACCUAAAAGGCAGAAAAUCUGUUUUGUUAGAAUAACUUCCUAUGUUCAGAAAGACUGAUGUCCCUCUAUUAAGAUUUUUUGACUGUUUUAACUAUUUGCCCUUGACUGUUUUGUUGUCACUUUGAUUGAAUAGAAUGAGCGUUGUUUCCUAUUUGGCCAAGUGUUUUAAAACCUUUUGAUAUUUUUGACAAACUCCCCCCGACCAAAAUACUCAAAUCCUGAAUAAAGGCUUUCUUUUGACCUGGAAGAAGGAAGAGAAUUUCUCUGAGGAUUUUCAGAGGCCCCCUGAGAUUUCUCAGAGAAAUUUGUUCUCUCUUCCUAUAAAGGGGGGGAUACUAAUUAGGCUUGUUUGGUGCUAAAUUGCAUGGGAAGCAUUGUCAAGUAAAUGACGAUAAACCUUCUUAGGUUAUAUUGUGUAGGUAAAGAUUAUUCACUAUUUUAACCCUGCUACUUUGCUUCCAACAUCACAAGAGGAGAACACCACGACUGCAUACUAUUAUUUAAUUGGUUUACAGAUGGGUCUUACUUAAAUGAUAAACAAGGAUGUUAUCAAGCUAGAUAUGCUGUCCAGCCUCAAGAAUGCCUGCUACUUUCUAUUAACUCUGCUGACCCACUAAAAGGUUUCCUUCUACAGACUCAAGAAAUCACCGUGGAAGAGAAGAAAUAAAGGUGGCAACAAAGGGGGAAAGCAAUACUUUUGGAAACAUUCUCCCACAGCAGCUCAUAAAGCCUAUACUCAUGCUACAUGCCCAAAAUAUAAUCUAGCGAAGCUAUUUCAUGAGUCACAAGACCACUUUCCCCUUCCUAAGGGACCUUUUGAGGUAUGACAAUUGGACUUUGUCGGAAUGCCACCAUCUCAAAGAUAAAUAUCUUGGAAUGAUCUGUGUGUUCUCAUGUUGGGUUGAGGCCUUUCCUUCAGAAGAGUGAUGGCUUUAGGUAAAUUAUUAUUGAAAAGGUUAAUUCUUGUUUGAGGAAUUCCUACUGAGUUACACAGUGACCGGGAACUCAUUUUACCAGACAAAUAAUUAAAUCUGUUUGUAAUAUUUGGCCAAUAGUGCAGCAUUUCCACUGCAGUUACCAUCCCUGAUCCUCAGGAUUGGUGGGAAGAGCUAACAGCACCAUCAAAACUUAAUUGGCAAAGCUUUCAGAGGCACUUAAGCUCUCUCAUGGCCAAAAGCUUUUCAAUCUUGGAUCUACACCGUUUGGUAAGCAUUGGCUGUCUCCUUUCGAGAUAAUGACUGGAUGGCCUAUGAAAUUAGAUGAGGAAAUAUAAGAACCAACUUUGCUUAAGGAAGAUAUUACAUUGUUCUCAGGGUCCCAUUGAGAUGCUGAAAUGAAAGGUUGGUAGCUGAUUCUUUUCACAGAGCUCCCAGACCUUAAGGAUCAUGGACUAUAACCUGGAGAAUUUAUUUAUGAAAAGAGGAAUCAAAUGAAAGACUCUUUGCGGCCUGUUGGAAAGGACUACACCAGGAUGAGGAGAAGAUGGCAUCUGUGUAGACAGGUGUCCCAAGACUCCAGACCAGGGGAAAUAAUACAGGCUUGCAGAGAGUAGGCUCCCAGGCUCCUUCUUAAGGCUUUACCAAGCAACCUGAAGCCAUGUUCCGAGCAGCCAUCUUGCUCCAAGUGCCGUUCUGGUCUCUGAGGACACAGUAGGAUAUAUCCGCCUCUAUCCAGUUGUAUGGGGUUUCCAGUGAAGACGCAGAUCCAGGUAGCAGUAUUGCCUACACUUUCAGAAAAUUUGAAAGUCCCACCCAGGGACUUCAGCAUCCUUCUUCCCUACUCUCCAUCCUCAAAUUACAGCCACUGCACGUGUGCACACAUGCACAGGAGCCUUCGCUUCUUGUCAAUCACCGUGCUUCUCUUCCUUGUCACGUACCAUGUAAAGCUCAGUGUGCAGCUGGAGAAUACAAAAAGAAAGCUGCAGUGUUGGCCUGGAGAACUCAUGCCCAGGUGGCUUCGGGGAAAUCAAAUCAUCUCUUCCACAACCUCUCAAAUUCCUGUAUCAAAGUAAAAUGCAUCAAGAAUGGUGGCAGUAUUUCAGCUAACAUUUAAAAGAAUAAAUUAGCAUACCACAAUCAGAUUUUUCAUAUAGCUGCCCUC